UCAAUAAAUCUGGUACUUCUAUUGUUUCAGUAUUUUCUGGUAUUUGAAGUGUAAAAAACGGCAAUCAUAUGACCGGUACUAUUAUCGGGUCUAUUACUUCCAUCGAUGAAAGUAUUUUAAAUCAGUUGAUUUCAAAUCUUGUACUUCGAUUUUUUUUAACA
This is a long non-coding RNA of Bradysia coprophila, 161 nucleotides long. The record is from RefSeq and is a predicted model, not a curated record. NCBI's taxonomy places the organism in Eukaryota, Metazoa, Arthropoda, Insecta, Diptera, Sciaridae.